UACGGAGGGUGCGAGCGUUGUCCGGAAUCAUUGGGCGUAAAGGGCGCGUAGGUGGCGGGACAAGCGUGCGGUGAAAGCUCGGGGCUCAACCCCGAGUCGGCCGUGCGAACUGUUUUGCUUGAGCACUGUAGAGGCAGGCGGAAUUCCUGGUGUAGCGGUGGAAUGCGCAGAUAUCAGGAGGAACACCUAUAGCGAAGGCAGCUUGCUGGGACGUUACUGACGCUAAGGCGCGAAAGCGUGGGGAGCGAACAGG
RNAcentral lists this ribosomal RNA (253 nucleotides) under uncultured bacterium. RNAcentral describes it as "partial 16S ribosomal RNA". It matches the Rfam family "Bacterial small subunit ribosomal RNA", at positions 524 to 776 of the family's 1533-position model. The record is from RNAcentral.